UACGUAGGGGGCGAGCGUUAUCCGGAUUCACUGGGUUUAAAGGGUGCGUAGGUGGGUUGGUAAGUCAGUGGUGAAAUCCCCGAGCUUAACUUGGGAACUGCCAUUGAUACUAUCAGUCUUGAAUACCGUGGAGGUCAGCGGAAUAUGUCAUGUAGCGGUGAAAUGCUUAGAUAUGACAUAGAACACCAAUUGCGAAGGCAGCUGGCUACUCGGAUAUUGACACUGAGGCACGAAAGCGUGGGGAUCAAACAGG
RNAcentral lists this ribosomal RNA (253 nucleotides) under uncultured bacterium. RNAcentral's name for it is "partial 16S ribosomal RNA". It matches the Rfam family "Bacterial small subunit ribosomal RNA", at positions 524 to 776 of the family's 1533-position model. The record is from RNAcentral.